RNAcentral lists this ribosomal RNA (497 nucleotides) under uncultured bacterium. RNAcentral describes it as "partial 16S ribosomal RNA". It matches the Rfam family "Bacterial small subunit ribosomal RNA", at positions 28 to 507 of the family's 1533-position model. The record is from RNAcentral.
GACGAACGCUGGCGGCGUGCCUAAUACAUGCAAGUUGAGCGAGGAAGAUUGGUGCUUGCACCAAUUUGAAGAGCAGCGAACGGGUGAGUAACGCGUGGGGAAUCUGCCUUUGAGCGGGGGACAACAAUUGGAAACGAAUGCUAAUACCGCAUAACAACUUUAAAAAUAAGUAUUAAGUUUGAAAGAUGCAAUUGCAUCACUCAAAGAUGAUCCCGCGUUGUAUUAGCUAGUUGGUGAGGUAAAGGCUCACCAAGGAGAUGAUACAUAGCCGACCUGAGAGGGUUGUCGGCCACACUGGGACGGGGACACGGCCCAACCUCCUACGGGAGGCAGCCGUAGGGAAUCUUCGGCAAUGGACGAAAGUCUGACCGAGCAACGCCGCGGGAGUGAAGGAUGUUUUCGGGUCGUAAAACUCUUUUGGUAGAGAAGAACGUUGGUGAGAGUGGAAAGCUCAUCAAGUGACGGUACCUACCCAGAAAGCGACGGCUAACUACGUG